AAGGCCUAUUUAUUUUUAUAUUGUAAAAAGGCAUAUUGGUCUAUCAAUAUCUAAGCUAUAUAUUAUUGCAUGUACGUUUUUAUUACACUGACGCACGUAGCCUAUAUUUAUUCUGUUCAAUGAGAUGUUAACUGAUAACAUAGGCUUUUGGUUGUGGUAGCAGCCAUGGUGACAAUGGCUGGCUGCCACAGGUCGCUCAUUCAGCCAUACCUCUGAUUGGUUGCGACCUAUUUGCCGCAAAAAGGGUCGCGGCGCUUUUAUGGUCGCGACCUAGUCGGUCAGCCUGCCAGAGCCAUGGCCAGCGACCAGCGGCAGUUGCCAGCGGCAGCCAGCGGCUGGCCUGUCGUCGCAGCCAGCCAACCGACACCAGCCAGCGUCGCAGCCCGUCAUAUAGUUAUCAUACCAUACCAUCGUACUAAAUCAUACAAAAAUGUUAAAUGAAAGAGGCCGAUUGCGUCAAUAAGUUUGACUAAAAGAGCAAAAAUUAAUCAGUCCGUGGAGAGAAUAGAACACCGGUCUUCAGGAUCAUUAACUUAGCGUCACUACCACUUGUACCACAGCUUGCGCCACUAUAGCAUUGAUUUCAAACUAUUCUUCUUAUAUUAAAGUAUAUCGCUCUAUAACGAAGAACUUUGUGCAUAAUAUACCUUAUUAGGCUCAAU
Gadus macrocephalus (Pacific cod) is the source of this 662-nucleotide long non-coding RNA. RefSeq lists it as uncharacterized. The record is from RefSeq and is a predicted model, not a curated record. The transcript has 2 exons. NCBI's taxonomy places the organism in Eukaryota, Metazoa, Chordata, Actinopteri, Gadiformes, Gadidae.